Molecule: ribosomal RNA, 253 nt
Filed under: uncultured Eubacteriales bacterium
Lineage: Bacteria; Bacillati; Bacillota; Clostridia; Eubacteriales
Description: uncultured Clostridiales bacterium partial 16S ribosomal RNA
Rfam family: Bacterial small subunit ribosomal RNA
Source: RNAcentral
UACGUAGGGGGCUAGCGUUGUCCGGAAUUACUGGGCGUAAAGGGAGUGUAGACGGCUUGUCAAGUUAUGUGUGAAAGCCCGCGGCUCAACCGUGGAACUGCACAUAAAACUGACUCGCUAGAGUGCAGGAGAGGUAAGCGGAAUUCCUAGUGUAGCGGUGGAAUGCGUAGAUAUUAGGAGGAACACCAGAGGCGAAGGCGGCUUACUGGACUGCAACUGACGUUGAGGCUCGAAAGCGUGGGGAGCAAACAGG